CCUACGGGAGGCAGCAGUGGGGAAUCUUGCGCAAUGGGCGAAAGCCUGACGCAGCCAUGCCGCGUGUAUGAUGAAGGUCUUAGGAUUGUAAAAUACUUUCACCGGGGACGAUAAUGACGGUACCCGGAGAAGAAGCCCCGGCUAACUUCGUGCCAGCAGCCGCGGUAAUACGAAGGGGGCUAGCGUUGCUCGGAAUUACUGGGCGUAAAGGGCGCGUAGGCGGACAGUUUAGUCAGAGGUGAAAGCCCAGGGCUCAACCUUGGAAUUGCCUUUGAUACUGACUGUCUUGAGUACGGGAGAGGUGAGUGGAACUCCGAGUGUAGAGGUGAAAUUCGUAGAUAUUCGGAAGAACACCAGUGGCGAAGGCGACUCACUGGCCCGUUACUGACGCUGAGGCGCGAAAGCGUGGGGAGCAAACAGGAUUAGAUACCCUGGUAGUCCACGCCGUAAACGAUGAGUGCUAGUUGUCGGCAUGCAUGCAUGUCGGUGGACGCAGCUAACGACAUUAAGACACUCCGCCGUCGGGAGGUACGGUCGCGAGAGUUAAACUAACGUAAGAAGUUAGAGUCGUUGAGAGNGCGACGGCGACGACGAGGGAGGAGG
Molecule: ribosomal RNA, 603 nt
Filed under: uncultured bacterium
Lineage: Bacteria
Description: bacterial SSU rRNA
Rfam family: Bacterial small subunit ribosomal RNA (bases 1-520)
Source: RNAcentral